RNAcentral lists this microRNA precursor (80 nucleotides) under Cricetulus griseus (Chinese hamster). The record is from RNAcentral. Lineage: Eukaryota; Metazoa; Chordata; Mammalia; Rodentia; Cricetidae.
AUAACUGAAACAAUGGUUGUCCAACAUUAAAUCGUCAUUAAUACAGAGACCACACUAUGGACAGCCAUUCUCUAAGUUGC